Molecule: long non-coding RNA, 1767 nt
Organism: Patiria miniata (bat star)
Lineage: Eukaryota; Metazoa; Echinodermata; Asteroidea; Valvatida; Asterinidae
Exons: 5
Source: RefSeq, a predicted model, not a curated record
UAGACAGACACACGUGUGCAGCGGCUGCGAGUUUACUUUGCGCUCCCUUAUUCUCGAAAGAACUGUCGGUUGUUGUUUGACGGUUUCUCACGAAAAGGAAUCUCCUUAUGUUACACAUCAAGACCGAUCACUGGCCGAACUUACAGCAAAGACGCCAUGCUUUUGGAAAACCGUCGUAAUUCGUCAGUCCUCUGAAGGUUUCAAAGCCAGUUCCCUGGCCGCAGCCUGGGCCUGCAUGAGGAGUUCAGCCUGGUGGAGGUGCUGAAGGCCGUCAUGAUGCAGCAUGGACUUGGGCCGUAAGAUGAGCGAGUUGGAGAAAAAGCUGAAGUGCCUGCAGAUGCAGCGCAAACUUGUACAAGUAGAGCAAGGUGGCAAAAACGAAGACGAAAAUCCACAAACUGAGCACCAUCAAACCAUCGGAAUUGUGAGGAUCUGACCAGCCCCGAGGUGGACCGUGUCAUCGUCCAGCGACUGAGGGUUGAUGAAGUCAUUGACGUCCCUUACGGCAAGCUGAUGACCUGUUGAUCAUCAAGGGAAUGCGAGACACUUUUCUCUCAUGAGUCCGUCGCAAGCCUCUCCCCAGCAGGGCGCACUAAAUCCUCCAACGUCUCCUGAGUCGUUUCGUCCAAGACACCCAACUAGACACCAAAACGGCCCCGCUGAUAGCGAUCCAUGAUGUCCAAUGCAUCAAUGAUGACUCCAGUGCUUACUUACGCUUCUUCGGCGGCUACUCUUUGUUCUAGGCAUGGGAGAGCUCGGGAAGGGGGCGGAGUUUGAGGCUCUGGAAGGGAGGGAGAUCUUGAACAGUCUGCUGUGUAUCGACGUCAAGCUUGAUGGGCUGGAGUCUAGCAACAUGGAACCAUUGCUGUGCCAGUUGCUGGAAAGGGCAAACAUGCCCAGAGAACUCAACAAAUUGAUGAGAAUGAGGUUGAUCACAUUGUCAACAAGGAGUGUGAAAAACUGGACAAGAGACUUGGAGAGGGGCCAAGGUGAGCUUGCCGACACCCAAGAUUUGCAGAGGGCAGAACUGGACUUGGCUGUUUUGGGCAGAGAUGUAACCAGAUCAGUCACGUUGAAUAGAUUUGAGACUGAAUGACUCUUAGUUAACUUGUGAUGACUUGUGACUGAUUUUGUAAACAGUUCGGCUUAAGGCUCGACUAGGUAGUCUUGUAUUUUCCAGUUAAACAUUUAUUUGCGGUAAUUUUUCUUGGUCAUAUGCGAGACCUGUCGAUGCAAACUUGCAAUUUACACAUUCAUUUUGAAACAAUACACCCAAGAAGUCUGACAUCAUGCAAGUCGUCUAAGUGGUAAGUCUAAACAAUGUCUUGUUCGCCACUUUUACCUUCGGAUUUGCACAGGCAUAAGUUGAACAUGUUUUGAUAAAAAGUAAAUGGUAAGCCCUUAUCGUAUUGAAUUUGUGAUAAAAACUUAACUUUCCCCAUUUUUAUAAAAAUGCAAGGCUAACCCUUACCGUAUUGAAAUUUUGAUGAAAAUUUACGUUCGUGCUAUUUUUUGAUAAAAACUACCAUAAAAACUAAGUUUGUUUUUGCCCCUUUUUGAUAAAAAUGCGAGGCUAAUCCUUUACAGUUUUGAAUAUCUGAUGAAAAGUUAACUUUUGACCAGUUUAUGAUAAAAAUUCAAGGCUAACCACGAACCGGUUCGAAUAUGUGAUAAAUAAUUCUUUUUGUCCCUUUUUGAUAAAAAUGAAAGGCUAAUCCACUACCGCUUUGAAUUUGUGAUAAAAAAAUUUUUGCCCUGUUUUGAAAA